Molecule: small nucleolar RNA, 100 nt
Filed under: Brettanomyces bruxellensis
Lineage: Eukaryota; Fungi; Ascomycota; Pichiomycetes; Pichiales; Pichiaceae
Also listed under: 1 other name
Description: Dekkera bruxellensis Small nucleolar RNA snR73
Rfam family: Small nucleolar RNA snR73
Source: Rfam by way of RNAcentral
GUAUAUGAUGAUUUGCACAUUCUCACGACGGUCAACUGUAAUUCUUGCAAUGCAAGGAUGUUUGAUGAUAUUUCAGCUUUGACAAGCUGUGCUGCUGAAA